This 415-nucleotide ribosomal RNA is filed under the name uncultured archaeon. RNAcentral describes it as "partial 16S ribosomal RNA". It matches the Rfam family "Archaeal small subunit ribosomal RNA", at positions 330 to 747 of the family's 1478-position model. The record is from RNAcentral.
GUGCAGCAGGCGAGAAAACUUCACAAUGGGAGCAAUCCCGAUGAGGGAAUUCCGAGUGCCAACACACUGUGUUGGCUGUUCUCCUGUCUAAAAAGCAGGAGAAGUAAGGGCCGGGUAAGACGGGUGCCAGCCGCCGCGGUAAUACCGGCCGCCCGAGUGGUGACCACUAUUAUUGGGCCUAAAGCGUCCGUAGCCGGUUUUGUAAGUUUCUGGGUAAAUCCCACAGCUUAACUGCGGGAAUUCCAGAAAUACUGCAGAGCUAGGGGCCGGGAGACGCAGAAGGUACUCCUGGGGUAGGGGUGAAAUCCUAUAAUCCUAGGGGGACCACCAGUGGCGAAGGCGUUCUGCGAGAACGGGCUCGACGGUGAGGGACGAAAGCCAGGGGCGCAAACCGGAUUAGAUACCCCGGUAGUCC